This 298-nucleotide long non-coding RNA is filed under the name Nicotiana benthamiana. Its description in RNAcentral is "long non-coding RNA (NBEN_LNC026853)". Lineage: Eukaryota; Viridiplantae; Streptophyta; Magnoliopsida; Solanales; Solanaceae. The record is from RNAcentral.
AGAAGAAAACACUACAACAAGCAACUCAAGCGUUGUAAUUCUCUCUUAGUGCAAUACAAGUUUCUCAUUUGGCUCCAUUGCUUUCUUCUCUAGUUCGAGAAGCUCUAGGCUUACUUAGCAACCUUUGGCAAAGUUGUCUCUUAGUGCAAUACAAGUUUCUCAUUUGGCUCCAUUGCUUUCUUCUCUAGUUCGAGAAGCUCUACGCUCUUAGCAACCUUUGGCAAAGUUGUCUAAGUGCCGCACGGGUUAGCUGCGCAAAAUACUCAUCCCGUGACAGGUGGUACCAGAGCCAAGUUUU